RNAcentral lists this ribosomal RNA (1717 nucleotides) under Paenibacillus helianthi. RNAcentral's name for it is "bacterial LSU rRNA". It matches the Rfam family "Bacterial large subunit ribosomal RNA", at positions 914 to 2925 of the family's 2925-position model. The record is from RNAcentral. Lineage: Bacteria; Bacillati; Bacillota; Bacilli; Caryophanales; Paenibacillaceae.
UUGGGUGCGGGGCCCGCAAGGGUUACCAAGCUCAGUCAAACUCCGAAUGCCAUUAACUUCUUGCCGGGAGUCAGACAGUGAGUGCUAAGAUCCAUUGUCAAAAGGGAAACAGCCCAGACCAUCAGCUAAGGUCCCCAAGUGUGUGUUAAGUGGGAAAGGAUGUGGAGUUGCACAGACAACCAGGAUGUUGGCUUAGAAGCAGCCACCAUUGAAAGAGUGCGUAAUAGCUCACUGGUCGAGUGACUCUGCGCCGAAAAUGUAACGGGGCUAAACACACCACCGAAGCUAUGGCUAGAUGCAUUGCAUCUGGGGUAGGGGAGCGUUGUAUAUACGUUGAAGGUGUACCGUAAGGAGCGCUGGAGAGUAUACAAGUGAGAAUGCCGGUAUGAGUAACGAAAAGAUCAGUGAGAAUCUGAUCCGCCGAAAGCCCAAGGUUUCCUGAGGAAGGCUCGUCCGCUCAGGGUAAGUCGGGACCUAAGGCGAGGCCGACAGGCGUAGUCGAAGGACAACAGUUUGAAAUUACUGUACCACUAAGGCUGGGCUGUGAUGGGGAGCGAAAAUUGUAGUAGCGAAGGUCAUGAUCUCACACUGCCAAGAAAAGCCUCUAGCCAGGAGAAGGUGCCCGUACCGCAAACCGACACAGGUAGGCGAGAAGAGAAUUCUAAGGCGCGCGGAAGAACUCUCGUUAAGGAACUCGGCAAAAUGACCCCGUAACUUCGGGAGAAGGGGUGCCUCGGUAGGGUGAAUAGCCCGAGGGGGCCGCAGUGAAAAGGCCCAAGCGACUGUUUAGCAAAAACACAGGUCUGUGCGAAGCCGCAAGGCGAAGUAUACGGGCUGACGCCUGCCCGGUGCUGGAAGGUUAAGGGGAGCGGUUAGGAGCAAUCCGAAGCUGUGAACCGAAGCCCCAGUAAACGGCGGCCGUAACUAUAACGGUCCUAAGGUAGCGAAAUUCCUUGUCAGGUAAAUUCUGACCCGCACGAAUGGCGUAACGACUUGGGCGCUGUCUCAACGAGAGAUCCGGUGAAAUUUUAAUACCUGUGAAGAUGCAGGUUACCCGCGACAAGACGGAAAGACCCCAUGGAGCUUUACUGCAGCUUGAUAUUGAAUUUGGGUACGAUCUGUACAGGAUAGGUGGGAGCCGUAGAAGUAGGAGCGCAAGCUUCUAUGGAGGCGCCGUUGGGAUACCACCCUGAUCGUAUCUAGGUUCUAACCUGGUACCCUAAACGGGUACGGGGACCGUGUCAGGCGGGCAGUUUGACUGGGGCGGUCGCCUCCUAAAGAGUAACGGAGGCGUUCAAAGGUUCCCUCAGAAUGGUUGGAAAUCAUUCGAAGAGUGCAAAGGCAUAAGGGAGCUUGACUGCGAGACCAACAAGUCGAGCAGGGACGAAAGUCGGACUUAGUGAUCCGGUGGUACCGCAUGGAAGACAGUUCGGUCCCUAUCUGUCGUGGGCGCAGGAAAUUUGAGAGGAGCUGUCCUUAGUACGAGAGGACCGGGAUGGACGUACCGCUGGUGCAUCAGUUGUUCCGCCAGGAGCAUGGCUGAGUAGCUACGUACGGACGGGAUAAGCGCUGAAAGCAUCUAAGCGUGAAGCCCCCCUCAAGAUGAGAUUUCCCAGUAUGUAAGACCCCUUGAAGACGACGAGGUAGAUAGGUUGGAGGUGGAAGCACGGCAACGUGUGGAGCUGACCAAUACUAAUCGGUCGAGGGCUUAUCCAAA